This 531-nucleotide ribosomal RNA is filed under the name Porosphaerella sp. RNAcentral's name for it is "LSU rRNA". It matches the Rfam family "Eukaryotic large subunit ribosomal RNA", at positions 89 to 647 of the family's 3401-position model. The record is from RNAcentral. Lineage: Eukaryota; Fungi; Ascomycota; Sordariomycetes; Chaetosphaeriales; Chaetosphaeriaceae.
GCGAGUGAAGCGGCAACAGCUCAAAUUUGAAAUCUGGCUUCGGCCCGAGUUGUAAUUUGUAGAGGAUGCUUUUGGCGCGGUGCCUUCUGAGUUCCCUGGAACGGGACGCCAUAGAGGGUGAGAGCCCCGUAUAGUUGGACACCAAGCCUUUGUAAAGCUCCUUCGACGAGUCGAGUAGUUUGGGAAUGCUGCUCAAAAUGGGAGGUAAAUUUCUUCUAAAGCUAAAUACCGGCCAGAGACCGAUAGCGCACAAGUAGAGUGAUCGAAAGAUGAAAAGCACUUUGAAAAGAGGGUUAAAUAGCACGUGAAAUUGUUGAAAGGGAAGCGCUUAUGACCAGACUUGUUCCAGGUUGAUCAUCCAGUGUUCUCACUGGUGCACUCUGCCUGGAUCAGGCCAGCGUCGAUUUUCGUAGGGGGAUAAAGGCAUUGGGAAUGUAGCUCCUCCGGGAGUGUUAUAGCCCUUUGUAUAAUACCCUUGUGGGGAUCGAGGUACGCGCUCUGCAAGGACGCUGGCGUAAUGGUCAUCAGCGA